RNAcentral lists this ribosomal RNA (301 nucleotides) under uncultured bacterium. RNAcentral's name for it is "partial 16S ribosomal RNA". It matches the Rfam family "Bacterial small subunit ribosomal RNA", at positions 509 to 807 of the family's 1533-position model. The record is from RNAcentral.
CAGUCGCCGCGGGAAUACGGAGGGGGCUAGCGUUGUUCGGAAUUACUGGGCGUAAAGCGCACGUAGGCGGCUUGGUAAGUUAGAGGUGAAAGCCUGGAGCUCAACUCCAGAAUUGCCUUUAAGACUGCCGAGCUAGCAGGUGAGAGAGGUAAGUGGAAUUCCGAGUGUAGAGGUGAAAUUCGUAGAUAUGCGGAGGAACACCGAUGGCGAAGGCAGCCCCCUGGGCCAAUACUGACGCUCAUGCACGAAAGCGUGGGGAGCAAACAGGAUUAGAUACCCCCGUAGUCCCUGUCUCUUAUAC